RNAcentral lists this ribosomal RNA (253 nucleotides) under uncultured bacterium. RNAcentral describes it as "partial 16S ribosomal RNA". It matches the Rfam family "Bacterial small subunit ribosomal RNA", at positions 524 to 776 of the family's 1533-position model. The record is from RNAcentral.
UACGGGGGGGGCAAGCGUUGUUCGGAAUUACUGGGCGUAAAGGGCUCGUAGGCGGCCAACUAAGUCAUACGUGAAAUCCCACGGCUCACCCGUGGAACUGCUGGGCAUACUGGGCGUCUUGGGCCAACUAGGGGCAGCCGGAACAAGCGGUGGAGCGGUGAAAUGCGUAGAUAUCGCUUGGAACGCCGAAGGUGAAAACAGGCUGCUGGGGUUGUGCCGACGCUGAGACACGAAAGCCAGGGGAGCAAACGGG